GUUAAAAGAGAUUAUACAACAUAUCCCCAUUACGUCUACAAAUGUGAGGUUUUUUAUCCACUAGCCGAUACUAGUCGGAUUUCUAGAAAAAUCACCAACUAACUCCAUCUUUUUUAGUAUAAAAGAAGUAUACACAGAGUUCAAGAUACGCAUUCUUAUAUACUUUUCUUAAGUUCAAACAACUUAUUUACACUCGCUCUUUCUGAUAAUUACUGACUUAAACGUCAAAGUGGUUGCCCAUAUACAUCAACUACCUCACAUUUUUUCUUUUGCAGAGUAAUCAAUUCAGCUCCUUUUCUACCACAUCAAAAAAUAAAAUCAAUUUUAAAAAAAAUAAACACAGCAAAAUAAUUUUUAAUAUUUAAAAUUUGCAUAAAAUAGAUCACUAUUAAAAAAAUUAAAAAUGUAAUUAUUUAAAUUUGGUUAAUCUUAUCUUUGUCUCUAACUUUGAAUAUAUACUCAAAUUUAUAUUUACUUUUAAAACAUGUUUAAUAUCUAAAAUAUACUAGUUCAUUGAUUGAUGAAUAGUAACAAGCCAAACAACAAGAUUAAUUAAGGCUCAAAGAAAAUAAAGACAAUUUUCUAAAGGAAUUCUAGCAUCCAAGCCCAAAAACUUGACUUAGUAACAGAUCCAAAAAUAAUAUAUGGAGCGCUACUUAUGUUUUAAAACCACUGGCAGUCGAAGGAGAAGGAGACCAUUUAAAGAGAAAGAGAAUUUCAGAACAUAGUCAGGAAGAUAAACUUGUAAAAACACCGACUAGAGACCCAUAAAGAACCUCCAACCACCAAAAGCUUCAAAUACUAUAAGGAACAAGAAUAAGAACUAGAUCUAACCAUUACUGAGGUCACACCAUCAAAGAGAAACGAGGGUUCAACAUCAGAAUCGAGACAAGGCUGCAUCCAGAGUCAAGGAAGGCAACAUGCAAUCCAAAAAUAGCAAGAGAAGUAACCAAAACAGUGAACUAACUAAGCAAAUCUAACCUUAGUGGGAAAGGAGCCGACAAAAAGAAAUGAAGAGUCCUUUCUUAAGAUUAGAGCGACUACUUCACUUAGGAUAAUGGGGAGCGAUAUGUAAUCCAAAUAAAAAAGUAGGGCUACCGCCUUGCUCCACCCCUGAAAGAAAAAAAUUAUAAGAGCACCAUAAUUGAGCAACUCCAACAUGAAAAAGGCAACAAAAAAAAAAAACAAAAAAGAAAAACAAAAACAAAAAUUGACAACCCAACAGAAACUCUCAACUAAGUCUCAUUGCCAACAACAUCAAAACAAGAAAGUAUUUACACUCCACUCAAUAAUGGGAGAAAAAACCCAAAUCGGGAAGAGGGAGGCUCCUAGACCGGAAGGGUAAAAAAGCUUUUAAAAGGCAUAAGCACUAAUAAACCCGAAAAAAGGACUAAAUUAAAGAGAGAAAAAAAAAACUCUCUG
Molecule: long non-coding RNA, 1422 nt
Filed under: Manihot esculenta (cassava)
Lineage: Eukaryota; Viridiplantae; Streptophyta; Magnoliopsida; Malpighiales; Euphorbiaceae
Description: long non-coding RNA (MESC_LNC010676)
Source: RNAcentral